Molecule: unclassified non-coding RNA, 4215 nt
Filed under: Apis florea (little honeybee)
Lineage: Eukaryota; Metazoa; Arthropoda; Insecta; Hymenoptera; Apidae
Description: aDAMTS-like protein 4, transcript variant X4
Source: RNAcentral
UUAAUCGGUUUGUUUCGUCGUCGCUCUUUUCGAACGAUCGAUCGAUCGAUCGACUGGCGGACGACUUAUCGGGACGACCUUCGAUUCGACGAUUUUAAACGCGUACAGAAAAUCGUGGGGAGAAUUUUAAUGAUCCGAGAGGGAGGAGUUAAGAGGCGACAGAUCGGAAUGUAGAAUUUGGAGGGAAAGUUUCUCUUCUCUUUUACUUAUAUAUAUGUACACGAGUAUACACGAUUCCAAGAAACAUCUUGCCUCUCCCUCCCUUUCCCAAGGGUUCGUUUGUAGGAAAAGUGAAUCAAACAAAACGGUGAGAACGUUUGCACAGGUGGACAUCUCUUGGAGGCAUUUCCUUCUUCUUCUUUUUUUCUUUUUUUCUAUUUCGAGAUAAAAAAAAAACCCUUUUCUCGCAGCGAUAUUACUACCUCUUCGUUUCCCAAAAAAUUGUCGGGCUUAUCGCGAGCAACAGGUUAACAGGUUCGGUCGGAGAUAUUGUAGGUAGUGUGACGUUAAAAUGUUCACACUUCCAAGUCUGGUUCUCAGCGGCAACGCGCAUUCUGCACGGCUGCCCUUUCCGGCACCACUAUCUUGGAUCGGCGCCUUUGUACGUGACAUUCUCGACGCGUGUACCGGCCAAGGAGGUGAGAUUCCCGUCCACGGAGACGAAAGAUCGAUUCUAGCUUUGACAAUGCUGACUGCGGCCACCGUCUCCUCUACCCACGUGCCCGACAAGUAUCCCAUCGAAGUGUAUCAUAUGCUACGGGAGAAGACUCAAUUCGCUCUUGGACGAGAUAAUCGUAUUAGAGGAACUUGGGGUCCGUGGAGUUCGUGGAGCGAGUGCUCGCGUACCUGUGGCACGGGGAUCCAAUCCCAAUCCCGUGAAUGCGUUCCCUAUCAGCGACUGUUAAGGAAGCGGAGCAUUAUCUCGGAGAAUGGCACGAGCAACUCGCGACCCAUUUGCAUCGGUACAUAUAAGCGAUACCACACGUGCAACACGCAGAAAUGUCCGAACUUCCCGGAGGAUUUGCGGGCCGAACAAUGUGCCAAGUACAACGGAAGAAAUUACAAGGGCGAGAGUUACGAUUGGGUCCCGUUUUUGGAUGCACCGAAUUCUUGCGCGCUCAAUUGCCGUGCCGUUGGCGAGCCUUUUUACGCAACGCUUGAACCGGCAGUAAUGGACGGCACACCCUGCGACGCUCCGAAUCUUCGUGGAUAUAAUGCUGGAAUUUCUAUGGAACGCACCGAUCGAUGGCUCUGUGUCGCUGGACAAUGCAAGCCCGUGGGUUGCGACGGUGUGGUAGGUUCCGGCGUCACGAUGGACGCUUGUGGUGUCUGCGGUGGUCAGGGUAAAGGUUGUAGACUGUACGAGGGCAUUUUUAUGGAACCAAUCCUGCCACGGGGUCAUCAACCUGUAACCAGUAUUCCGAAAGGAGCCAUGUCCCUCAACAUAUCCGAACUACGGCACAGUAGCAAUUUCUUAGCGUUGAGAGACGGCAACGGUAGUUACAUCCUGAACGGACCCUUGGCUUACAGUCCAAGCGGCACUUAUAAAGCGGCUGGCACGACAUUAACAUACCAGAGGGGUGACAGAAACCGCAUGGAGUGUAUCUUGGCGACCGGGCCACUGAACGAUUCUUUGCAUUUAGAGAUUCUGGCACAGGAAAUGAAUCCUGGAGUACUUUACAAAUACAUGAUGCCGUUCAAUGGAAAGCCAUUAAUAGCACCGCCACUUUUUGCGACAGGAUCCAUCGAUCGUGGCAACGAGAUCCCUGAUUCGGAUGCGCGUGUUGGUCACACGAUUCCCGUAACCAGAAUAUCCAAUCAGAAAACCGAUUUAUUACCGACGAUUCGCAAUCAAGAUCGAGCACGAGGCCGUGAGAGAGGACGAAAGGAGGAGAUGAAGCAUUCCCCGACUACGGUGAUGGCCGGUGAUCAACCGAAGUUAAAGGGCAAGAAAAAGAAACGUGCGCGGUUCGCCUGGAAGAUGUUUGGAUUGACUCCUUGUUCCAAAGAAUGUGGAGGAGGCGUUCAGACAGCGAUCUUCAAGUGCUUCCGCGAGACCAAGCAGAUGAUCGUGAACGACAAGCGUUGUCGCAACGUGGGAAAGCCGCAACACCCGCCUCCGUUGCGUUGCAACGACAAACCUUGUCCACCCAGGUGGAGGGCCGAAUCGUGGAGCGAGUGCUCGGUCACCUGCGGCACCGGCACGAGAACACGAAAAUUGGAGUGUGUGCAGGAACUGAAAGCGAACCUAACGAUGCGAGUGUUAGACGGUGCGUGUGUACAACCGCCCGACCUUAGAACCGUGGAAACCUGUGCGAAACCGGCUUGCACGAACAGUCCGGAAUUGAGGCAUAUGCACUCUCAACACGACACACCCAGAUGGGACGUCGGCGCCUGGGGUCCUUGCUCGACGACGUGUGGGAUGGGAAUUCGAAAUCGAACAGUGACUUGCAUCACGUCGGGAAGUGUUUGUCCCGCGUUCAACAAACCCGAAUCUCAGAAAAUCUGCGAAUCCCCGCCUUGUACCGCGCACAACACUGGUAUGGAGCAACGAGCGCCUUGGCUCUACUCGGAAUGGUCGGCCAAGUGUUCGGCAGAAUGUGGUAGCGGAGUGGAAACGAGGCAAGUAGCUUGCGCCGAUGUCAGCGAGUUGUUCUGCAAUCCCAAAGAGAGGCCGGAAACGGAAAGGGAAUGUUACGGAAGAGGAAGGAAUUGCGAUAGCGCGAAAUGGUUCACCGGUCCAUGGACAUUGUGUUCCGUGUCUUGUGGAGUGGGUGUCCAGUAUCGAGAAGUGCUUUGCGUCGCAAGGACGAACAACGAAUUCGUCGUGUUGCCGGCGAGCAAUUGCAGCGGCUCGAGGCCAGCAAACGAACAAGUAUGCAGAGCGGCCGCGUGCACGCCGACAUGGUUCACCUCGGACUGGUCGAAGUGCUCGGUGACAUGCGGUACCGGCGUGCAAACCAGACUGGUUCGUUGUAUUCUCGAAGGUGUGAGCAGCUCGAAUUGCGAAGAUGCUGCGAAACCGAGCGACCAACAGCAAUGCAGCCUGGAGCCAUGCAAAAAGGAUCCUACGUCGUCGAUCAAACCGCCGAAAAAAGCGUACGAAGCAUCGUCGGAAUGCGUUGACAAGCAUCCAGAUUGCUCGGUGGUGGUGAAGAAUGGUUAUUGCCGGAUCAAAUAUUACAAGUAUUCGUGCUGUCGAUGCCGCGAAUAAUCGUUCGACAGCCGAGGACGAGUCAUCGUUUCAGUUUAUUCGACAUUUGCACACAAUAACAGCUGCCGAUCUAAAAUACAAAUACUGCAUGCGUGUACAAAAACAGUUCCUCCGAUUUAACUAUAUUAUCGAUUUCAUCGAACGUAUCUGAUUACACGAUUAAACGAUUAAUUUGGCAAUGACUUUUUUUUCUUUUUUUAUCAAAUUGAAUAAAAAAAACACAAUUGUUCGACCGAACCUCAACUCUUACGAUAGAUCUGUGAAUUGCACUAAGUGAUUGUGGAUAUGAAAAAGCAUGAAAUAAAUAUUUGUAUGAAAGAAGAGGUACAUUUGAACUAUAGAUCUCCACAAAAAAAAUGCAAGAAAGAAUGAUAAAAUCAUGAUGCAUCAUAUUGUCAUGCAUAACUAGUUAUCGCUGUGUUCAUAUCAAGUUACUUUAAUAGAUUUUGUGUGUUCAGAGAAAUUAACACUCAAAUAUCAUCACAGAUCAUCAUUACAUAUAUUGCUAUACAUUAUAUAUAUGUAUAUAUUUAUCAAACAAGAUUUUUAAAAAUAAUUUUAUGUAUACAUGCGAGUAGCCUUAAAUGAGAGUUACUGUAAAUUUGUAAUAAUUCUGGUGCCGUUUAAUAUAAUCAAUAAAAAAAUCAAUUUUAUAAAGUAAUAAUAAAUAAAAAUUACAUUUUAAAUGAUGCUCAAACUGUUACAAAUAAUUUUAAGUAGUAUACAUGAAGUAUUGAAUAAGAAUUUGUUCUGACACAAUUUGUGGUAUAUACAACUACAGUGAAAUAAAAAUGUUUUAAUGUCUAAGAAGAGGAUGCACAACAAUCAGGAGAGAUUAUGUUCUGUGAUUAUAGUGUUGUGCAGAAUUACUCGAGUUUACAUACCAUGUAUGACUGACAAAUGAGUUAAUUCUAAUAUAUUUUUCCAUGGAGAGAAUAUGUUAAUGUGAUUACUUCUUAAGAAAUUUCGGAUAAGGCUCCAUUUUGGAGGGGGAAAAAAAA